RNAcentral lists this ribosomal RNA (496 nucleotides) under uncultured bacterium. Its description in RNAcentral is "partial 16S ribosomal RNA". It matches the Rfam family "Bacterial small subunit ribosomal RNA", at positions 28 to 506 of the family's 1533-position model. The record is from RNAcentral.
GACGAACGCUGGCGGCGUGCCUAAUACAUGCAAGUAGAACGCUGAAGAGAGGAGCUUGCUCUUCUUGGAUGAGUUGCGAACGGGUGAGUAACGCGUAGGUAACCUGCCUUGUAGCGGGGGAUAACUAUUGGAAACGAUAGCUAAUACCGCAUAACAAUGGGUGACACAUGUCAUUUAUUUGAAAGGGGCAAUUGCUCCACUACAAGAUGGACCUGCGUUGUAUUAGCUAGUAGGUGAGGUAAUGGCUCACCUAGGCGACGAUACAUAGCCGACCUGAGAGGGUGAUCGGCCACACUGGGACUGAGACACGGCCCAGACUCCUACGGGAGGCAGCAGUAGGGAAUCUUCGGCGAUGGGGGCAACCCUGACCGAGCAACGCCGCGUGAGUGAAGAAGGUUUUCGGAUCGUAAAGCUCUGUUGUAAGUCAAGAACGGGUGUGAGAGUGGAAAGUUCACACUGUGACGGUAGCUUACCAGAAAGGGACGGCUAACUACGU